Xenia sp. Carnegie-2017 is the source of this 1337-nucleotide long non-coding RNA. RefSeq lists it as uncharacterized. The record is from RefSeq and is a predicted model, not a curated record. Lineage: Eukaryota; Metazoa; Cnidaria; Anthozoa; Malacalcyonacea; Xeniidae. The transcript has 4 exons.
AUUUGCCUUUAUGCCUUUCCCCGGCAGCGGGGAAAUUGAACUAUUAAAACGAAAAAAAUCAAAUGCCCGGCCAUAUUCCCGGGGGGGGAUGGUAACUCUUGGAAUUGACUCAUGCAUUACCUACAAGUCUACAACCCUAAAACAUGGCAGACAGGUUAUACUUUGUAAGACACCUUCGCAACUCUAUUUUGGGUUGUAUUGUUGACCUCGAAGGAAGUCCAGAUCGGGAUUUUUGCGUUUUUCGUAUUGAUUCUCUUUACCAUACAACGUUGCCAUUUGCUGAAGUAUUCGAGCUUGAAGAGGCUGUUCUGCAGUUAAUCUCAAACGCAAUAGAACUUUUAAAUGUCGAUGUUCAUCAUGAUAUUAAUCCAUCUUCUUCAUUGAACUGCCCUCAAGUUUUCAGUGGCACACUAGGGCGACCAAUGUAUGAAGUAAACGAAGAUAUUCAGCGUUAUUUCUUGGAUAAGUGUUUUACAGUGAAAGAUACGGCAAAUCUUCUGGGAGUCAGCAAAAGAACCAUUGAAAGGAGGAUGAACGAGUUUGGUUAAUCAGUUUCUAAUUGUUAUUUUGACGUUAACGAUAGAGAUUUCGAGUUGGUCAUAAGAAACUUAACGAACGAGUUUCCCAAUCUUGGCUACAAACGUAUGUCAGGAUUGCUGUUAGCAAGAGGUUUGCGAAUUCAGCAGGACAGGAUUCGUGAAAUGAUGCGAAGAGUUGAUCCACAGGGUACAUUGUUUCGUGCUUUGUCUCUUAGAGCAGUGCACAGACGUAAAUAUCAUGUUACUAGCCCAUUAUCACUUUGGCAUGUUGAUGGAAUCACAAAUUGAUUAGCACAAACCAUCGAGCUGAAACUGUUCUAAAUCUAUUUCUAUCUGGUGUAUCUCAAUAUGGACUGCCAUCCAGAGUAAGAACAGAUAAAGGAGGUGAAAAUGAAGGUUACAAUAGAUCUCCCAUAAGAACAGAAAGAAAUUUAUCACCUGAACAGCUAUGGAUCCAAGGAUCCUGCUAAGCCAAUAAUUCAAAUGACCAUAUACAGCAGGUAAACCAAGAAUUUCCACGCACCUUUACACAAAACUACACAUGUCAUGAAACAGAUCAGCAGCAAGUGAUUGUUCAAUUGAAUGAAAUAGAUCUUGAUGAGCUGCAAAGAACCUGUUGGUGUCAAUUCAGAUAAUACAAAAAAAGAUAUGUUUUUUUUUUUUUUUUUUUUAUAAUGCUAUAAAUUUUUCAUUAUGUUGAUUAUUCAAACAUUUUAGCAGAAAACAUUUUUUAGCACCUAAAUGCUGAUGCACUAUCAGAACAAAAUUUAAUGAAACAUUAACAAAUUCACUUUAAGU